This 158-nucleotide transfer RNA is filed under the name Hyphomicrobium sp. LHD-15. Its description in RNAcentral is "tRNA-Ser". The record is from RNAcentral. Lineage: Bacteria; Pseudomonadati; Pseudomonadota; Alphaproteobacteria; Hyphomicrobiales; Hyphomicrobiaceae.
GGGGUAAGUGAUACGUCAUGGUAAAAGGCGGCGACAGAUUUUUGAACGUAUUUUCUGUUGAUUAGGUGUUUAUCAUCGCAGCAUGCCUCUCAUGCUGUGUCAUGCGUCUCGAUGAGGAAAACUCCUGGUUCCAGGUUCGAGUCCUGGCGGGCCCACCA